RNAcentral lists this long non-coding RNA (1026 nucleotides) under Bos mutus (wild yak). Its description in RNAcentral is "lncRNA (ENSBMUG00000003500.1)". Lineage: Eukaryota; Metazoa; Chordata; Mammalia; Artiodactyla; Bovidae. The record is from RNAcentral.
CUCGGGGGACUGAGCGGGGAGAGAGGCAGGUGGUCGUUUGGCUGGCGCCCCUGGAAACCCCAGGCUCCUGCCGCAGGUCGUCUGCGGGCCUUUUCCCUGGUGAGCAUCUUUCCAGACUUACGAUGACGAGUAAAAGAAUAACAGUAAUAAUAACCGCAGUUGAAUUUAUUACUGGGCACUUUCUCAGUGCCAGGCUCUUAACAUUCUCGCCCCAACUCACUGUCACAAGCACCAGUGGAUAUGUCCAUGACCGUCUCCAGUUUGCAGAUGAAGAAGGUGAAGGUGUCCUUCUAGAAAUACGGAACUAGCCUCUGACGCUCGGUCCUCUCAGUGCAGCCAUCCAAGGAGCCGACCAGGGUGCUCCUCCUUUAUUUCAUGGAGAGAGGUUUGUUAAGCACCUACUGGACGCUGGGGAGAGUGCUGUGGCUUGGAUGCAGCUGUCAACUUUGUGAUGUGUCCCAGGGGGAAGGAGGAGGACAAGAGGACACCAGGACAGAAAUACACAGGUGGAAGAUCUGAGCCCAGCGGAGACGGGAGCCCGUCUGCAUGCCAGGGAGCUGGGAGCCUUCAUUCCCCAGGAGGUGAGCUGAUGACCCUCCAGGAAGGAAAAUGGCGCCCCCUGGCUAAUCGGGGACCUGGGCCAGGCUCCAAGGCGGAUGGCUGCUUUUCGAUAUAUUUUCUUUAAAGGCGAGAAAAGGUUCUGUCUUUGGUACAUACAUCUUCACUCCAGGUGAAGGUGGCAGCAGGCAGGGGUGAGAGAGAGGGGUCAUGCACCCCGUGUCCUGGCCAGGGUAACCCAUCCCAGCCCCAGGACCAGCUAGAGAAGGAAGACUCCUGAGACCCAGGUGAAGAAGGAGAGACAGCGGCGGUUCCGGCCUGACCAGGGUCCAGAGAAAGGCUGAGGGGCCCCUAAGGCCACAACAGGAGCAUCUGGGGAGCAGGGACAGAAGCCAUAGGCUGAGAACCAUCACCUGGGGAAGAAAGUGAAGCAGAGGUCAAGGGUCAGCAGAGACAGCAACAGGAGAC